This is a long non-coding RNA of Chenopodium quinoa (quinoa), 1981 nucleotides long. RefSeq lists it as uncharacterized. Lineage: Eukaryota; Viridiplantae; Streptophyta; Magnoliopsida; Caryophyllales; Amaranthaceae. The transcript is spliced from 3 exons. The record is from RefSeq and is a predicted model, not a curated record.
UACAAUGAUAGGAGUACGUAUCUACUGCAACAGAUUGAUCAUUGUUUUUUUUUUUUUAGUUGGGAUGAAAUGGUAAUAUAAUAUAUGUAUAAUUAGUCAGUACAAAUCUAAAUAUACUAACAGAAACAAAGUAUCAUUUAUAUAUAAUAAUUAUAAUGCGAAAUACGUACAUUACAAAAUAUUACUUGCUUGUUUUAGGUAUGACACACCCUACUAAUAAAAAAUAAAAGUUAUAUAAUUAAUUUAAUCAUCCAAAAUACAAAUUGACAACAUAUAUAUAAGCCGAAUUUCCAAAUCUUCACAAAGUCGAAACUUGAAUAAGAGUCGCCAACAUAUAUGCACCAUUUGUUAGAUGACUAGUCACUAUACUUCAGCUCCAUUUAGCUCCCCAUGCACCAACACAUAAAAUUGAAAAAACUAAUAGAAAUAUAAUUGAACUAAAUUAUAAAUUAUAAUAAACCAAGGCCACAAUCAACAUGAGAAAAGUUCAAAAGGCACAGAUGAUGGUUGUUUAAAAGAUGACAGCAAAGAAGUUGCAGUCAAGGUGUUCUCAAAGACCGAGGCCCCUAAACAAUUUAAGGUUCGUAAUUAGGCAACCAAAUAGAGAAUCAUGCUCUCUUGAUAUCAUUAAUGUUGUAUGAUAUGAGAGCUAAAGCCUUAAGAAAUGUUUUGGCACAGAUUGAAGUGCUUGGUCAAAUUUCUCACAAGAACUUGGUUUCUCUCGUUGGAUACUGUGAAGAAGGAACCAACUUGGCACUUAUUUACGAGUUCAUGGCCAUGAGAGACUUGAAAGCUCUUCUCUCAGGUAGGACCUUGCAUCCUAAAACUUCUAUAGUCCUUUAUUUUUUCCUAGCUGUUGCACUUAUUAAUUGAAUUAAAUGUUUUUUUUUUUCCUUUCAACAACAAUCAAUUUGAUUUUUGGGUGGUUUAUGAAAAGAAUAUUCUGACUCUAUAAGCUGGAGAAAGAGAGUUGAGAUAGCAAUCGACACAGCUCAGGGACUGGAUUACUUGCAUCAUGGUUGCAGCCCGCCUAUAGUUCAUAGAGAUGUGAAACCCGCUAACAUUCUUCUAAACAAAGAAUUUCUAGCAAUCCAAAAUCUUCCCAGCUGAAUACGUUUCAAAUUUACAAACAAGGGUUGUUGGAACACUAGGCUAUCUUGAUCCUCAGUAUAAUUUAACAGGACAGGUGCAUCAAAAAGGCGAUGUUUACAGCUUUGGGGUUGUUUUGUUGGAGCUAAUCACAGGGAAAACAACAAUAGUAAACAGAGUCAUGAACUUGGGUCAAUGGGUUAGGAGCGUGCUUGAAAGAGGGGAUAUAGCCAGCAUGCUAGACGAGAACCUGAGACACCAGACGCGUGUAGAUGACAACUAUCUCACUGUGUGGAAAGCAGUAGAAUUAUCAGUGAGAUGUAUUCAGCUAGAAAUUGUAGAUAGGCCAACAAUGACUCAAAUAGAGACAGAACUCAAAGAGUGUUUGAAUAUGAUGAACACAGAUGUUCUAGUUCAGCUAAAGACUCUCUAGAGAUGAUGAGCGCAACUAUUCGAAGUAGUACGAUUUCAAGUAGUAUGAAGAACACAGAAAGUAUGAGUAGUAACUCAAGAAUCUAACUCAAGAAUCAUGUCCUUACUGAUUGAUAAUUUAGAGAUGUAGCAGGCUAUAAAAAGCAUGAACUCAGCAACAAAAACAUACAACAAUAAAAAGCAUCAACAAACAACUAAAGCAUCAACCAUAUAAAGAAAAAAAAAACAAAAGUAAUAAAGCAAUAGUGGGCAUCAGAAAAAGACAUCAACAACAGCAACAUUUCAACAGUAGGUUCAGGGUAUAAGUUAUAUUUCAUGCAUAUGUAAUUUGUCAGAAAAAAAUAGGGAUGAUGACCUUGGAUAUGGUGAGUGCAGGGCUCCAUUACUCCUUUAGUAUAUCAAGGCAAAUACUCCCAUUGCUAUUAAUAUUUGGAUGGAAUACCUUCGUUUUAAAGGCCAC